RNAcentral lists this ribosomal RNA (249 nucleotides) under uncultured bacterium. Its description in RNAcentral is "partial 16S ribosomal RNA". It matches the Rfam family "Bacterial small subunit ribosomal RNA", at positions 107 to 354 of the family's 1533-position model. The record is from RNAcentral.
UGAGUAACACGUAUGCAACCUGCCUGCCACAGCCGGAUAAUCGGGAGAAAUUCCGUCUAAUACGGCAUAAUGCAUCGACGGGACAUCCUGUUGGUGCCAAAGGUUAAUUCCGGUGGCGGAUGGGCAUGCGUCGCAUUAGUUAGUUGGCGGUGUAACGGCCCACCAAGGCGACGAUGCGUAGGGGUUCUGAGAGGAAGGUCCCCCACACUGGUACUGAGACACGGACCAGACUCCUACGGGAGGCAGCAG